GGGUCAGUAGGUUGGUCGUGCCACCGGUACGUACUGGUCUCACUGAUUCCUCCUUCCUGAAGAACCGUAAUGCCAUUAAUUUGGUGUUGCGGGGAAGCGGGACUGUUACUUUGAAAAAAUUAGAGUGUUUAAAGCAAGCUAACGCUUGAAUACAUUAGCAUGGAAUAAUGAAAUAGGACGAUCGAUCCUAUUUUGUUGGUUUCUAGGAUUGACGUA
Molecule: ribosomal RNA, 216 nt
Filed under: Glomeromycotina sp.
Lineage: Eukaryota; Fungi; Glomeromycota
Description: partial small subunit ribosomal RNA
Rfam family: Eukaryotic small subunit ribosomal RNA (bases 40-216)
Source: RNAcentral